RNAcentral lists this ribosomal RNA (166 nucleotides) under uncultured bacterium. Its description in RNAcentral is "partial 16S ribosomal RNA". It matches the Rfam family "Bacterial small subunit ribosomal RNA", at positions 509 to 674 of the family's 1533-position model. The record is from RNAcentral.
CAGCAGCCGCGGUAAACCGUAGCGUGCAAGCGUUAUCCGGAUUUACUGGGCGUAAAGCGCGUGCAGGCGGCUUGGUAGGUUGGACGUGAAAGCUCCCGGCUCAACUGGGAGAGGCCGUUCAAUACCGCCAGGCUUGAGGGCGGAAGAGGGAAGUGGAAUUCCCGGU